This 490-nucleotide ribosomal RNA is filed under the name uncultured bacterium. RNAcentral describes it as "partial 16S ribosomal RNA". It matches the Rfam family "Bacterial small subunit ribosomal RNA", at positions 28 to 507 of the family's 1533-position model. The record is from RNAcentral.
GAUGAACGCUAGCGGCAGGCUUAAUACAUGCAAGUCGAGGCGCAGCACGUUUCGCAGCAUUGCGGGACGGUGGCGACCGGCAAACGGGUGAGGAUCGCGUACACAAUCUUCCCAGAGCAGGGGGAUAACCCGGGGAAACGCGGACUAAUACCCCGUAGUUUACUUUGAAGGCAUCUUUGAGGUACUAACACCCCGGUGGCUUUGGAUGAGUGUGCGUCCCAUUAGGUAGUUGGCAGGGUAACGGCCUACCAAGCCUUCGAUGGGGAACUGGUGUGAGAGCACGAACAGUCAAACGGGCACUGAGGCACGGGGCCGGCUCCUACGGGAGGCAGUAGUAAGGAAUAGUGGUCAAUGGACGCAAGUCGGAACCAGCCAUGCCGCGUGAAGGAAGAAGGUCCACUGGAAUGCAAACUGCUUUUAUAGGGGGCGAAAAGAGGGUUUUUUAACUCACUUGACGGUACCUUAGGAAUAAGCUCCGGCUUACUCCGUG